GACCAAAACCCUGGUAUGGAGAUACGCAGGAAAGCCUGUAGAGUACAACAGUAACAUCCUACGGAGAUUUGCAUGCAGAUUGCUCAGUUGUUCAAAUAUAGGGAGGGGCAUCUGCUAUUCUCGACGUAUUUCGGGGAGGCUGGAGGGCCCGAGAUUCGGUAGCGAAUUUUUGCUUUUUCUUGUUGAUCAGGCUCUUGUUGUUGCAAAUGAAGCUUCUUCCGGGAGUAGAAACCCGGCUAAAACCCGACACUAACACUCAGACCAGAGCACUUGCAAUCCUCCAGCCUGUCUGAGAUCGGUUGACCCUGUUCGUCGCCUAGCUUCGCUGGUUUGUUUCGCUUCGAGAUAGGAAAGUGGAAAAGCAUUGUCAGAUAUUAUGACCAUUUUCAAAGUGGUAAACAAAUUGUAAUCCGAAGCAGUACGGAAAAUGAGGUCUGCGCAAUCCCUUACUCCUUUUAUAUCACUCUAGAAAGGCCCUGGUAUGUCUGAUUUGCGCUUGGAAGAAUUGGCGACAGAGGAAGAUUCCCAAUAAAGAGAAAGAUGUAGAUAUGACUUUUGAAGCUAGAUAAUAGAAGAGAGGAUGGGUUUGAUGCUUCCCACCUACGUCUUUCUGAUUCAUCCGAAUGAUAUCCUGCUUAGCUUGGCACGUCGAUCCGUUUCUCUUCUGGAUCCAUGUCUUUGCUUCGCCUGAAUAUAGCAUUCAGCUAUGAGUGAACUUGGCGGCC
RNAcentral lists this small RNA (725 nucleotides) under Histoplasma capsulatum. Its description in RNAcentral is "hypothetical RNA". The record is from RNAcentral. RNAcentral also lists the same sequence under 1 other name. Lineage: Eukaryota; Fungi; Ascomycota; Eurotiomycetes; Onygenales; Ajellomycetaceae.